Helianthus annuus (common sunflower) is the source of this 2718-nucleotide long non-coding RNA. RefSeq lists it as uncharacterized. Lineage: Eukaryota; Viridiplantae; Streptophyta; Magnoliopsida; Asterales; Asteraceae. The transcript has 5 exons. The record is from RefSeq and is a predicted model, not a curated record.
CGUUAUUUUGGUCAGUUUUUUGUAUAACCAGUUUAGAUAUUUUGGUCAGUUUUUUUUAUAACCAGUUUAAACGAGAGAUAAUAGUGAGAGAGAGAUGGUCACUCUACCUGCGGUCAUCGCCUCCGGCCGAUUGUGCCUCCGACCGACUGUAGCCGGCCAUGCCCUCUGGCCGACCGAUCUAACAGCGCCACUUAAUCACGACGGCGGCUAGGGUACCGGAAUGCCUACAGGAGGCGGAGGUUUUCUGCAGAGGGGAUUUGGUUUGACACGGCAGCGGCGACGGUGGAGUUUAGGGUUCCGAUGACCCUUUUGGUACUCCGACGAGAAGCUCCAGGCCUGAAUGUUAUUUUCUCAGCUACAAGUUCAUUUGUGUGGUUGGCUGUGACCACUGUCGGUUACUUCCACUAUCGCCACCGCUAUCGCCUCCGGCGGUAUCGCCGCCGCUUGCAAAUCUGAAACUCUAACCCCCAAACCUUUCUUUCUCUUACUGGGUUUCUGCUGGUGGAAUUUUUGUGUGGUUAGCUAUGUUUAAGCUGACGGUUGUUAGGCUGUGAUGAGUAUCAAAUUCAUAUAGAUCAUUGAUAAAGAUGGCGCGGCAAGGGUGGUGGAUGGUAGGUACAGAACUGCAACCCACCUUGCAGCCAGCUUCUUUUGGAACUCUGAGCCUUAUAUUUAUUUUUAUUGUGUCUUUAAUUUUUAAUGUUUCUCUGGUGUUUACAAAUGUGUUGAUACAUAUGUGUUUGUGGUAUGCUUUUCGCUGAAUUGGUUGAUUUGUGAUAAGGAAAACAGAUUAGGUGUUAAUCGAUUGGUAAAUUUGGUGUUAAUUCUUUGUUGACAACAACUUACAUCAGAUCCUAUUAUAAUCACUUCACUUUAUUCCGUUGUUGUUUGUGUUUAUCGGCUUUCAUUAGAUCUGCGUCUAAUAGUUUAUGUCAUCUUUUCAACACCAAUUGAUUUCAGAGAAAGAGUGCAACUUUUUGUUUUUCUGUUCAAAGUAUAUCCCUUUAAUCUAUGUUAAUUGAUCAUGUUAGAUCAAGGUGUGUUUUCAUAAAUGUGUAAUCAGCAUUUAGGUUGUUAGUGGAUUGUUUAUGGAGGGUAAAAAAGGUUGGCGGGUGAGGUUUAGAGACGGCGAACCAGGUUCGUCCACGUACCCGUAUCCGUGCUACGUAGUUCUGGAAUGUUGAAGACAAUGGUUGUCAUUGACCGAUUUAUGUAUCAACGGCUUUAAUUUACCAUGAUCACAGCAAAUUCAUCGUGGAUUAUAUGAAGAUGUAAUCGUGUUUGACCAUGUGAAAAAGUAUGCUGCCAGAGAGGCUCAAAUUGUGGCCCAAGCCGGAUGAAAGUACGCCAUCCCCAUAUCUACAAAUAUGGCUGGUAGGGGUACCGGCAUUAUAGUGGGAGGCAAUCCAAAGAUGCUUGCAAAAGAAGUUAUAGAGGACAACAUACUUUCACAUAUGAGUCAAGAUAUUCCAGAUAUCGACUUUGAAGAGCCAAUGUCGCAAAAGGUAUUAUCAAAAAUGAAAAUUGAGCCAUCAUCAUUAGCUUUGCUGGCUAAGACUGCUCUAAUGGGUUAGUGGUCUUGACCUUUGACUUCAUUUCGUCAAUCGAGAACCCCUUGUAAAUGCACAUAUUAAUGUUCUUCACUUCUUGGUACUAUUUUUAUUAUUGUAGCUAAAUAUGUGGCCAAAUGAUGACUUUUUUAUACUUUUUUCAAACUUGAUAAAUUAUUGGCUUUUUAUGUAGAUUCUUUGUCCUGGGAGCAAUAAUGAUACAGUGACCUUUUCACAGUGUUUGCACUGCUGGUCAAAGCUGAGGUUAAAGCAAUGGCUUUUGUGGUUGUCGUUGACUUUGCUGGUUUUCCUACUUUGACCCAAUUCUUGAUAAAGCUAUUGAUAAACAAGAAUAUUUUCAUGAGUUUUAGGUCUAAUAAACAUUAAAGCUACUGAAAUGAGCAGCUACUUGUCUUUGUGGCUGUGUCUCUGUGAUGUUAUUGGAGCUGUUAGUAUAGGUAGACUCCAGUUUUGUUCCGCCUCUUAUAGACGCGUUCAUGGGUAGCUCGAGAGAUAUUGCAGUCGGUCCUGUGGCAGUGGUCUCUCUGUAGCUUAGAGCUUUGUUACGAGAUGAGGUUGAGCCAAAUACACCUGAAUAUUUACGUCUUGCUUUCACUGCAACAUUCUUUGCUGGAGUCACUCAAGCUGCACUCGAGUUUUUCAGAUUGGGUUUUCAUGGGAGGAGCGGUCGUUACCAUCGCGCUUCAGCAACUUAAAGGGUUGUUAGGCAUCAAGGAUUUCACAAAAAAGACUGAUUUAGUUUCGUUCAUGCGUUAUGUCGUCAACUCAGCACAUCACGGAGUACGCAAGAGGUUGGGUCGGGCAAUGGGAUAUUCGUUUAGUACGGGUUGACGUAUGCCAACUCAAGUUGGAUUGACCCAUCUACUGGUUGGAGGGUGCUAGAGGUGUGACACGAAGUUACAAACGCUAGGUUGUCGUCGCAACGCGCGACGUGGGUAAAAAACUAGUUAUAUGAAAAAAUGCAUCAACAUUUGUAAGUUGUAACCUCCGUCCUCCAGUUUACUUAUUGGAUAUCUACUUUUGUAGUCCCUCUGUAUAUGGGCCUUUGAAGUGGGCUUUUCUUUAUGCUCGGCCCAUAUGAACAUGAAUCAUCAAGUCAAGAGAUGAUAAUUUCAUUAAUCUAGUUUUAAACGAUUCUUUUUUGGUA